This 495-nucleotide ribosomal RNA is filed under the name uncultured bacterium. RNAcentral's name for it is "partial 16S ribosomal RNA". It matches the Rfam family "Bacterial small subunit ribosomal RNA", at positions 28 to 507 of the family's 1533-position model. The record is from RNAcentral.
GACGAACGCUGGCGGCGUGCCUAAUACAUGCAAGUAGAACGCUGAAGGAGGAGCUUGCUUCUCUGGAUGAGUUGCGAACGGGUGAGUAACGCGUAGGUAACCUGCCUGGUAGCGGGGGAUAACUAUUGGAAACUAUAGCUAAUACCGCAUAACAGUAGAUAUCGCAUGAUAUCUACUUGAAAGGUGCAAUUGCAUCACUACCAGAUGGACCUGCGUUGUAUUAGCUAGUUGGUGAGGUAACGGCUCACCAAGGCGACGAUACAUAGCCGACCUGAGAGGGUGAUCGGCCACACUGGGACUGAGACACGGCCCAGACUCCUACGGGAGGCAGCAGUAGGGAAUCUUCGGCAAUGGACGGAAGUCUGACCGAGCAACGCCGCGUGAGUGAAGAAGGUUUUCGGAUCGUAAAGCUCUGUUGUAAGAGAAGAACGAGUGUGAGAGUGGAAAGUUCACACUGUGACGGUAUCUUACCAGAAAGGGACGGCUAACUACGUG